Molecule: long non-coding RNA, 236 nt
Organism: Cygnus atratus (black swan)
Lineage: Eukaryota; Metazoa; Chordata; Aves; Anseriformes; Anatidae
Exons: 2
Source: RefSeq, a predicted model, not a curated record
AAGAUGCUGAUCCUCCAGCUGACUGUGCCUAAGCUGCCUAUGGGACUCAUCUGGAAUACCAUUUUCAAGAGUAUUGUCAAGCUAAAUAUGCUACAACAAGAUCCGGUAUUGUCUCAGCCCUCUCCAGAUAUGCAAGGAGUUAUCUGCAAUUCAGUCCAUUUAUCUUCCAACACUGGCUCUUCUGCUGCAGUUUUCCAUUUCAUGUGAUCCAUUAAAAGUCUAUUAUGUGAUAUUUA